Non-coding RNA from Xyrichtys novacula (pearly razorfish), 389 nucleotides. NCBI's taxonomy places the organism in Eukaryota, Metazoa, Chordata, Actinopteri, Labriformes, Labridae. The record is from the annotation of a GenBank genome assembly.
CCGUUUGAUAAGGUACAAAAGAACCUUUGAAAAAUUAAACAUCUCUGCUAAGUAUGUAAUAUACUCUGCUACUACUAAUUUAAGCAUUUUUUCUUUAGAUGGCGUCUGCACAAAAUGCACUGGCUAAAGACGUAAAAUAAAAGAGAAGCUGGUCUGUAUUAAAGAACACUUUUUGUCCUCAAAGGCCACCAUUGCUCCACAAACAUUGGGAGUGAGCAUGGAGGGUUUCCCAUUUUAGAAUCUGACCACUAUGUAAUGCUUAAUACGACCAUUUCUACACACUGUUUGUGUUUUUAACAUAGGACUGUCUGCUUUAAUUACAAGACUAUUGUUGCAUUUCUUUUUUAAUAAUCCAAAUAAAAGUAGAAAGCCAAACAUCAGAGAGCGGG